Molecule: ribosomal RNA, 459 nt
Filed under: uncultured bacterium
Lineage: Bacteria
Description: partial 16S ribosomal RNA
Rfam family: Bacterial small subunit ribosomal RNA
Source: RNAcentral
ACUACGGGAGGCAGCAGUGAGGAAUAUUGGUCAAUGGGCGCGAGCCUGAACCAGCCAAGUAGCGUGAAGGAUGACUGCCCUACGGGUUGUAAACUUCUUUUAUAAAGGAAUAAAGUGAGGCACGUCUGCGUUUUUUCGUGCCUUUCUUCAACCGUCUGGUCUGCCGCUCUGCCCUCCGCCGCGGUACUCAGGAGGAUCCGAGCGUUAUCCGGAUUUAUUGUGUUCAAAGGGAGCGUCGUUGGGUUGUUAAGUCAGUUGUGAAAGUUUGCGGCUCAACCGUAAAAUUGCAAUUGAUACUGGCAGUCUUGAGUACAGUUGAGGUAGGCGGAAUUCGUGGUGUAGCGGUGAAAUGCUUAGAUAUCACGAAGAACUCCGUUUGCGAAGGCAGCUUACUAAACUGCCACUGACAUGCAUGCUGUAAAGUGUGGGUAUCAAACAGGAUUAGAUACCCUAGUAGUC